UGGGGAAUAUUGCACAAUGGGCGCAAGCCUGAUGCAGCAACGCCGCGUGAACGAUGAAGGUCUUCGGAUCGUAAAGUUCUGUUGCAGGGGAAGAUAAUGACGGUACCCUGUGAGGAAGCCCCGGCUAACUACGUGCCAGCAGCCGCGGUAAUACGUAGGGGGCUAGCGUUAUCCGGAUUUACUGGGCGUAAAGGGUGCGUAGGUGGUCCUUCAAGUCGGUGGUUAAAGGCUACGGCUCAACCGUAGUAAGCCGCCGAAACUGGAGGACUUGAGUGCAGGAGAGGAAAGUGGAAUUCCCAGCGUAGCGGUGAAAUGCGUAGAUAUUGGGAGGAACACCAGUAGCGAAGGCGGCUUUCUGGACUGCAACUGACACUGAGGCACGAAAGCGUGGGUAGCAAACAGG
Molecule: ribosomal RNA, 403 nt
Filed under: Verrucomicrobiota bacterium
Lineage: Bacteria; Pseudomonadati; Verrucomicrobiota
Description: Verrucomicrobia bacterium partial 16S ribosomal RNA
Rfam family: Bacterial small subunit ribosomal RNA
Source: RNAcentral